This 305-nucleotide ribosomal RNA is filed under the name uncultured bacterium. RNAcentral describes it as "bacterial SSU rRNA". It matches the Rfam family "Bacterial small subunit ribosomal RNA", at positions 334 to 656 of the family's 1533-position model. The record is from RNAcentral.
GGCCCUACGGGAGGCAGCAGUGGGGGAUAUUGCACAAUGGGGGGAACCCUGAUGCAGCGACGCCGCGUGGGUGAAGAAGUAUUUCGGUAUGUAAAGCCCUAUCGGCAGGGAAGAAUUUAGACGGUGCCUGACUAAGAAGCCCCGGCUAACUACGUGCCAGCAGCCGCGGUAAUACGUAGGGGGCAAGCGUUAUCCGGAUUCACUGGGUGUAAAGGGAGCGUAGACGGCGAUGCAAGUCUGAAGUGAAAGCCCGGGGCUCAACCCCGGGACUGCUUUGGAAACUGUAUGGCUGGAGUGCUGGGGAG